RNAcentral lists this ribosomal RNA (450 nucleotides) under uncultured bacterium. RNAcentral describes it as "bacterial SSU rRNA". It matches the Rfam family "Bacterial small subunit ribosomal RNA", at positions 328 to 795 of the family's 1533-position model. The record is from RNAcentral.
UAGCCAGACUCCUACGGGAGGCAGCAGUGGGGAAUAUUGCACAAUGGGGGAAACCCUGAUGCAGCGACGCCGCGUGAGCGAUGAAGUAUUUCGGUAUGUAAAGCUCUAUCAGCAGGGAAGAAAAUGACGGUACCUGACUAAGAAGCCCCGGCUAACUACGUGCCAGCAGCCGCGGUAAUACGUAGGGGGCAAGCGUUAUCCGGAUUUACUGGGUGUAAAGGGAGCGUAGACGGCUGUGCAAGCCAGAUGUGAAAGCCCGGGGCUCAACCCCGGGACUGCAUUUGGAACUGUGUGGCUGGAGUGUCGGAGAGGCAGGCGGAAUUCCUAGUGUAGCGGUGAAAUGCGUAGAUAUUAGGAGGAACACCAGUGGCGAAGGCGGCGUACUGGACAGUAACUGACGUUGAGGCUCGAAAGCGUGGGGAGCAAACAGGAUUAGAUACCCCCGUAUUC